Molecule: ribosomal RNA, 751 nt
Filed under: Bacillus sp. (in: firmicutes)
Lineage: Bacteria; Bacillati; Bacillota; Bacilli; Caryophanales; Bacillaceae
Description: bacterial SSU rRNA
Rfam family: Bacterial small subunit ribosomal RNA
Source: RNAcentral
AAGUCGAGCGGACAGAUGGGAGCUUGCUCCCUGAUGUUAGCGGCGGACGGGUGAGUAACACGUGGGUAACCUGCCUGUAAGACUGGGAUAACUCCGGGAAACCGGGGCUAAUACCGGAUGGUUGAUUGAACCGCAUGGUUCAAUUAUAAAAGGUGGCUUUUACCUACCACUUACAAAUGGACCCGCGGCGCAUUACCUAUUUGGGGAGGUAACGGCUCACCAAGGCAACAAUGCGUACCCAACCUGAAAGGGUGAUCGGCCACACUGGGACUGAAACACGGCCCAAACUCCUACGGGAGGCAGCAGUAGGGAAUCUUCCCCAAUGGACAAAAGUCUGACGGACCAACCCCCCGUGAGUGAUGAAGGUUUUCGGAUCGUAAAACUCUGUUGUUAGGAAAAAACAAGUACCGUUCAAAUAGGGCGGUACCUUGACGGUACCUAACCAAAAAGCCACGGCUAACUACUUGCCACCAGCCGCGGUAAUACGUAGGUGGCAAGCGUUGUCCGGAAUUAUUGGGCGUAAAGCGCGCGCAGGCGGUUUCUUAAGUCUGAUGUGAAAGCCCCCGGCUCAACCGGGAAGGGUCAUUGAAAACUGGGAAACUUGAGUGCAAAAAAGGAGAGUGAAAUUCCACGUGUAGCGUUGAAAUGCGUAAAAGAUGUGAAGGAACACAAUUGGCGAAGGCAACUCUCUGGUCUUGUAACUGACGCUGAGACGCGAAAGCGUGGGGAGCGAACAGGAUUAGAUACCUGG